AACCUUUACACUGCACGCCAGUGCGAUAAGGGGACUCCAAGUGCGAGGGCAUAUAGUCCUCGCUUUUCUGGACCGUAAGGAGGUCCAGGAACAAGGGCUGGGCAAGACCGGUGCCAGCCGCCGCGGUAAUACCGGCAGCCCAAGUGAUGGCCGCUCUUAUUGGGCCUAAAGCGUCCGUAGCUGGCCAGGCAAGUCCGUCGGGAAAUCCGCGUGCCCAACACGCGGGCGUCCGGUGGAAACUGCCUGGCUUGGGACCGGAAGACCUGAGGGGUACGUCCGGGGUAGGAGUGAAAUCCCGUAAUCCUGGACGGACCACCGGUGGCGAAAGCGCCUCAGGAAGACGGAUCCGACGGUGAGGGACGAAAGCUCGGGUCACGAACCGGAUUAGAUACCCGGGUGGUCCGAGCUGUAAACGAUGCCUGCUAGGUGUGACACAGGCUACGAGCCUGUGUUGUGCCGUAGGGAAGCCGUGAAGCAGACCGCCUGGGAAGUACGUCCGCAAGGAUGAAACUUAA
RNAcentral lists this ribosomal RNA (515 nucleotides) under uncultured archaeon. RNAcentral describes it as "bacterial SSU rRNA". It matches the Rfam family "Archaeal small subunit ribosomal RNA", at positions 345 to 859 of the family's 1478-position model. The record is from RNAcentral.